RNAcentral lists this ribosomal RNA (491 nucleotides) under uncultured bacterium. RNAcentral's name for it is "partial 16S ribosomal RNA". It matches the Rfam family "Bacterial small subunit ribosomal RNA", at positions 29 to 507 of the family's 1533-position model. The record is from RNAcentral.
AGUGAACGCUGGCGGUAGGCCUAACACAUGCAAGUCGAACGGCAGCACAGUAAGAGCUUGCUCUUACGGGUGGCGAGUGGCGGACGGGUGAGGAAUACAUCGGAAUCUACUUUUUCGUGGGGGAUAACGUAGGGAAACUUACGCUAAUACCGCAUACGACCUACGGGUGAAAGCAGGGGAUCUUCGGACCUUGCGCGAUUGAAUGAGCCGAUGUCGGAUUAGCUAGUUGGCGGGGUAAAGGCCCACCAAGGCGACGAUCCGUAGCUGGUCUGAGAGGAUGAUCAGCCACACUGGAACUGAGACACGGUCCAGACUCCUACGGGAGGCAGCAGUGGGGAAUAUUGGACAAUGGGCGCAAGCCUGAUCCAGCCAUACCGCGUGGGUGAAGAAGGCCUUCGGGUUGUAAAGCCCUUUUGUUGAGAAAGAAAGCAGCAGGUUAAUACCCCGCUGUUCUGACGGUACCCAAAGAAUAAGCACCGGCUAACUUCGUG